Molecule: long non-coding RNA, 961 nt
Organism: Xiphophorus couchianus (Monterrey platyfish)
Lineage: Eukaryota; Metazoa; Chordata; Actinopteri; Cyprinodontiformes; Poeciliidae
Exons: 2
Source: RefSeq, a predicted model, not a curated record
CUUUGGGCUCACAUCAUUGUGCCCAAUAUUAUCAUGUGCUGAUUGUUUUACCAGUCGACAGUAGCCCCCUGUCUUGAUGCCACUUUAUUGCUUUAUGUCCCCUGAUGCUCUCCGUACUGUUUUCCCCUGCAGGAGCUCAUCACAGCCUGGUAUAUUGGUUUCCUGUGCCUCAUCCUGGCUUCCUUCUUGGUUUAUUCUGUGGAAAAAGAGUCCAGUGAGGAGUUUGAGACGUAUGCUGAUGCUCUGUGGUGGGGACCGUGCCUAACAGACAGAGAGGCGCACAAACAAACCUUCACCCAGCCCACUGCUGCAGACGUUGCUUUACUUUUCAACUUGGGUAAGAGCCACAAAGACCAAAGGAAGAGGACUGAGGAUCAAACCCAGACGGAGCCCCAAAUUCUUCGGCCCCGAUGAAGACUUUUGAAAUCAAGACUUAAACUUCUGACAGUAUGAAUAAAGCCAAUCUAAUGAUUUUAGACAGAUCAUACUUCUCCAGUUAAGUUUAUAAAGGCUCUCUCUAAUUGGCAGACAAAUUGACCAAUCAUUUUCAAGAUUUAACAUUUAGCUUUCCUACUUGCUUUUAUUUUUUAUUUUUAUUCAGAUUUGUUCUGUGGAGAGAGAUUGAGUUUUCAUGUGAUCUUAGGUAGUUCUAGUUUUGAAAAUAGGAAAUUGUUCCCAUAAUAUAGUUCACACAAAGCCUCAUGCUGGGGAUAGAGGCCUAGUCAGUGAGUCUAGGUACCAGGGCUGGCCCAAGGCAUAAGCAAACUAAGCUGUCGCUUAGGGCCCCAGGGUUACUAAGGGGCCCCCUCAGUGAAGCUGAGUUUUAAUUAAUUUUUUUAAGUAAUCAUUUCUAUGCUAUUAUAGUAUCAGAAAACCACAAUUUAUUUCACUAUGAAGUGAUUUGGUUUUACAAUAAUACAUAUUUGAUAAUGUAUGUAGAAAUUAUUUUAUGGAUAAAAAG